AAAUUAAUUAUAGAACUAAACUUCUCCACAAACUGUUAAACACAUAAAGUAACUACAACAAGAGAAGAAUAAGAACCCUUGCGGCGGUGAUUUUUAAUUUAUAUUGAAAAACCUCCAACAAAUAAAUAUCUAAUAUCAAACUUGAAAUAGCAACAAACAAAAGUGAUCCAUAAAUCAAAAACUCAACGAGAACUUUUAGAACCUGGAUCUUGAACGGAAAACCCCCGACUUAGUAUGCUUAGUGAAAAUGAAACUUGAGAAUUGGUUAGUCG
RNAcentral lists this long non-coding RNA (272 nucleotides) under Nicotiana benthamiana. RNAcentral's name for it is "long non-coding RNA (NBEN_LNC035747)". Lineage: Eukaryota; Viridiplantae; Streptophyta; Magnoliopsida; Solanales; Solanaceae. The record is from RNAcentral.